Molecule: ribosomal RNA, 460 nt
Filed under: uncultured bacterium
Lineage: Bacteria
Description: partial 16S ribosomal RNA
Rfam family: Bacterial small subunit ribosomal RNA
Source: RNAcentral
UCUACGGGUGGCAGCAGUGAGGAAUAUUGGUCAAUGGCCGUAAGGCUGAACCAGCCAAGUCGCGUGAAGGAAGAAGGAUCUAUGGUUUGUAAACUUCUUUUAUAGGGGAAUAAAGGUAUCCACGUGUGGAUCUUUGCAUGUACCCUAUGAAUAAGCAUCGGCUAACUCCGUGCCAGCAGCCGCGGUAAUACGGAGGAUCCGAGCGUUAUCCGGAUUUAUUGGGUUUAAAGGGAGCGUAGAUGGGUUGUUAAGUCAGUUGUGAAAGUUUGCGGCUCAACCGUAAAAUUGCAAUUGAUACUGGCAGUCUUGAGUACAGUUGAGGUAGGCGGAAUUCGUGGUGUAGCGGUGAAAUGCUUAGAUAUCACGAAGAACCCCGAUUGCGAAGGCAGCUUACUAAACUGUGACUGACAUUGAUGCUCGAAAGUGUGGGUAUCAAACAGGAUUAGAUACCCCAGUAGUC